Molecule: ribosomal RNA, 208 nt
Filed under: uncultured bacterium
Lineage: Bacteria
Description: partial 16S ribosomal RNA
Rfam family: Bacterial small subunit ribosomal RNA
Source: RNAcentral
UCCGUAGGCGGAUUAAUAAGUCAGUGGUGAAAGUCUGUCGCUCAACGAUAGAAUUGCCAUUGAUACUGUUAUUCUUGAAUAACUAUGAAGUAGUUAGAAUGUGUAGUGUAGCGGUGAAAUGCAUAGAUAUUACACAGAAUACCAAUUGCGAAGGCAGAUUACUAAUAGUUUAUUGACGCUGAUGGACGAAAGCGGUGGGGAGCGAACA